This 432-nucleotide ribosomal RNA is filed under the name uncultured bacterium. RNAcentral describes it as "partial 16S ribosomal RNA". It matches the Rfam family "Bacterial small subunit ribosomal RNA", at positions 29 to 507 of the family's 1533-position model. The record is from RNAcentral.
AACGAACGCUGGCGGCAUGCCUAACACAUGCAAGUCGAACGAGACCUUCGGGUCUAGUGGCGCACGGGUGCGUAACGCGUGGGAACCUGCCCUUAGGUUCGGAAUACUCCCCGAAAGGGGUGCUAAUACCGGAUAAUGUCUUCGGACCAAAGAUUUAUCGCCUUUGGAUGGGCCCGCGUUGGAUUAGCUAGUUGGUAGGGUAAAAGCCUACCAAGGCGACGAUCCAUAGCUGGUCUGAGAGGAUGAUCAGCCACACUGGGACUGAGACACGGCCCAGACUCCUACGGGAGGCAGCAGUGGGGAAUAUUGGACAAUGGGCGAAAGCCUGAUCCAGCAAUGCCGCGUGAGUGAUGAAGGCCUUAGGGUUGUAAAGCUCUUUUACCCGGGAUGAUAAUGACAGUACCGGGAGAAUAAGCUCCGACUAACUCCGUG